AUGUCUAACUUGCAAGGUAAUAGAUCUGAUCUAUUGUUUAAUACAUACAUUAGAUGUAGUAUAGAAACAUGUUGAUAUGAUCAACAUGUAGUUCAUGCUAUAUUUAUAUAUUUUAAUUUCUGAUUUAAUGCUAUGUAAUAAUCAUGUAAAGAUCUUAGAUCUAGGGAUUUUCUAGUUUUAAAAAAUAAAUUUUAAUUUAUUUUAGUUUUUCGUUGUAUGAUCUUGAAAAAGUUUCAAGAUCUAACCCUGAAACCCUAGAUCUGGUUCCUACAAUUGGUAUCAGAGCCUAGGUUCUUUAUUACAUGAUUAUUUAUACAUGCUUAGAUUAUUUCUUAGAUUAGAUUUAAUUUAUAAUCUGAUUAUUAAAUUUAAAAUUAAAAUUUUAGAUCAAU
This 392-nucleotide long non-coding RNA is filed under the name Elaeis guineensis (African oil palm). RNAcentral's name for it is "long non-coding RNA (EGUI_LNC070174)". The record is from RNAcentral. Lineage: Eukaryota; Viridiplantae; Streptophyta; Magnoliopsida; Arecales; Arecaceae.